Molecule: transfer RNA, 73 nt
Filed under: Felis catus (domestic cat)
Lineage: Eukaryota; Metazoa; Chordata; Mammalia; Carnivora; Felidae
Rfam family: tRNA
About the family: Transfer RNA (tRNA) molecules are approximately 80 nucleotides in length. Their secondary structure includes four short double-helical elements and three loops (D, anti-codon, and T loops).
Source: Rfam by way of RNAcentral
GCCUGGCUGGCUCAGUCCGUAGAGCAUGUGACUUGUGAUCUUGAGGUUGUGAGUUCAAGCCCCAUGUUGGCUG